GAAUUUGCCCUUUAGAGUUUGAUCCUGGGUUCAGGACGAAACGCUGGCGGCCUUGCUUAACACAAGCAAGUCGAACGGGAAGUUAAGAUUUCGGUUUUUACUUUAGUGGCGAACGGGUGAGUAACGCGUGAGGAACAUGCCUUUCAGUGGGGGACAACAGUUGGAAACGACUGCUAAUACCGCAUGAUACUUUUGGGUGGCAUCACCUAAAAGUCAAAGCUUUAUGUGCUGAAAGAUGGCCUCGCGUCUGAUUAGCUAGUUGGUGGGGUAACGGCCCACCAAGGCGACGAUCAGUAGCCGGUCUGAGAGGAUGAACGGCCACAUUGGGACUGAGAUACGGCCCAGACUCCUACGGGAGGCAGCAGUGGGGAAUAUUGGGCAAUGGGCGAAAGCCUGACCCAGCAACGCCGCGUGAAGGAAGAAGGCCCUCGGGUUGUAAACUUCUUUUACCAGGGACGAAGGACGUGACGGUACCUGGAGAAAAAGCAACGGCUAACUACGUGCCAGCAGCCGCGGUAAUACGUAGGUUGCAAGCGUUGUCCGGAUUUACUGGGUGUAAAGGGCGUGUAGGCGGAGAUGCAAGUUGGGAGUGAAAUCCAUGGGCUCAACCCAUGAACUGCUUUCAAAACUGUAUCCCUUGAGUAUCGGAGAGGCAAGCGGAAUUCCUAGUGUAGCGGUGAAAUGCGUAGAUAUUAGGAGGAACACCAGUGGCGAAGGCGGCUUGCUGGACGACAACUGACGCUGAGGCGCGAAAGCGUGGGGAGCAAACAGGAUUAGAUACCCUGGUAGUCCACGCUGUAAACGAUGAAUACUAGGUGUGGGGGGACUGACCCCCUCCGUGCCGCAGUUAACACAA
This 856-nucleotide ribosomal RNA is filed under the name uncultured bacterium. RNAcentral describes it as "bacterial SSU rRNA". It matches the Rfam family "Bacterial small subunit ribosomal RNA", at positions 1 to 860 of the family's 1533-position model. The record is from RNAcentral.